This 448-nucleotide ribosomal RNA is filed under the name uncultured bacterium. Its description in RNAcentral is "bacterial SSU rRNA". It matches the Rfam family "Bacterial small subunit ribosomal RNA", at positions 330 to 794 of the family's 1533-position model. The record is from RNAcentral.
UCCAGACUCCUACGGGAGGCAGCAGUGGGGGAUAUUGCACAAUGGGGGAAGCCCUGAUGCAGCGACGCCGCGUGAGUGAAGAAGUAUUUCGGUAUGUAAAGCUCUAUCAGCAGGGAAGAAAAAAGACGGUACCUGACUAAGAAGCCCCGGCUAACUACGUGCCAGCAGCCGCGGUAAUACGUAGGGGGCAAGCGUUAUCCGGAUUUACUGGGUGUAGAGGGAGCGUAGACGGCAAUACAAGUCGGAAGUGAAAUACCCGGGCUCAACCUGGGAACUGCUUUGGAAACUGUAUGGCUGGAGUGCUGGAGAGGUAAGCGGAAUUCCUAGUGUAGCGGUGAAAUGCGUAGAUAUUAGGAGGAACACCAGUGGCGAAGGCGGCUUACUGGACAGUAACUGACGUUGAGGCUCGAAAGCGUGGGGAGCAAACAGGAUUAGAUACCCUCGUACC